CCUACGGGAGGCAGCAGUGGGGAAUAUUGGACAAUGGGCGCAAGCCUGAUCCAGCCAUGCCGCGUGAGUGAUGAAGGCCUUAGGGUUGUAAAGCUCUUUUGUCCGGGACGCGGUACCGGAAGAAUAAGCCCCGGCUAACUUCGUGCCAGCAGCCGCGGUAAUACGAAGGGGGCUAGCGUUGCUCGGAAUCACUGGGCGUAAAGGGCGCGUAGGCGGCCUUGUAAGUUGGGGGUGAAAGCCCGUGGCUCAACCACGGAAUUGCCUUCGAUACUGCUUGGCUUGAGUGUGGUAGAGGUUGGUGGAACUGCGAGUGUAGAGGUGAAAUUCGUAGAUAUUCGCAAGAACACCGGUGGCGAAGGCGGCCAACUGGACCACCUGACGCUGAGGCGCGAAAGCGUGGGGAGCAAACAGGAUUAGAUACCCUUGUAGUC
RNAcentral lists this ribosomal RNA (431 nucleotides) under uncultured bacterium. Its description in RNAcentral is "partial 16S ribosomal RNA". It matches the Rfam family "Bacterial small subunit ribosomal RNA", at positions 338 to 795 of the family's 1533-position model. The record is from RNAcentral.